This 468-nucleotide ribosomal RNA is filed under the name uncultured bacterium. Its description in RNAcentral is "partial 16S ribosomal RNA". It matches the Rfam family "Bacterial small subunit ribosomal RNA", at positions 28 to 507 of the family's 1533-position model. The record is from RNAcentral.
GACGAACGCUGGCGGCGUGCUUAACACAUGCAAGUCGAACGGAAAGGCCCUGCUUUUGUGGGGUGCUCGAGUGGCGAACGGGUGAGUAACACGUGAGUAACCUGCCCUUGACUUUGGGAUAACUUCAGGAAACUGGGGCUAAUACCGGAUAGGAGCUCCUGCUGCAUGGUGGGGGUUGGAAAGUUUCGGCGGUUGGGGAUGGACUCGCGGCUUAUCAGCUUGUUGGUGGGGUAGUGGCUUACCAAGGCUUCGACGGGUAGCCGGCCUGAGAGGGUGACCGGCCACAUUGGGACUGAGAUACGGCCCAGACUCCUACGGGAGGCAGCAGUGGGGAAUAUUGCACAGUGGGCGGAAGCCUGAUGCAGCAACGCCGCGUGCGGGAUGACGGCCUUCGGGUUGUAAACCGCUUUCGCCUGUGACGAAGCGUGAGUGACGGUAAUGGGUAAAGAAGCACCGGCUAACUACGUG